CUGCCUUCUGCGCGCUCCCGACUCCGCUCACCCCCCUCCCCCCAAGAGGUGGGAGCUGGGAGGCAUCCCCCGCCUCCGCCCCCUCCCCAUCACGCUCAGAAAGAUGAACUGGCAAGAGGUGAGAAGGGAAGAGGGCUCCUGGCUCCCCUGGGUGGGAAUCCGUGGGCUAGAGCUCGCUGGGUGGCCGCAAGUACCUCGGCCCAGUCCAGAGAGCGCGGAGCAGGAAGGGUGGGAAUCCAGUCGUAACCGCGCCCGAGUUCCAGGGUAAUUCCACCGUACAAUCUGGGCUGUGAGGCCGUGGGGCCGUAAAGAGCUCGAAGAACGCUGGAGGAGGGCGAGGCUAGGCCACUAGCUCUCCAAGCUCGGAAUGGAGAAGGUAGUGUGCCAAGAACUGACUGCGGGGAACCCGGGUGGGAAUGGAAGGUACGAGAGCAAGAAAAGAAACUUCCCUCCUCCAAGGAGGGUCUCCCCAGCCUUCUUUUCCAACCCCCGGUCAUCAUUAGCAUGGCCAUGAGGAGCCUAUGUAAUUCGAUCCCCAGGGACGACUGAGCCCUUGAAACCAAGCUUGCUGGAAAAGGCCGGGGUUGCUGGGCUCUUCUCUGCCCUCCCUCUUUCCUUGCUCUCCGCCCCUUUCUCCUCCCCACUCAGCUUUGCUAGGGGAGCCCUCUGAGAUCCGAAGCAACUCCACUGCUGGAGUUUGAGGGGGUAGGAGAAGGGGGAGGGGGAUGACGCUAUCAAACGUGGCCAGCGUGGGGGCCGGGCCUUGAGCUGCAGGCCAUCUGCUGGCUCUUAAGGACUUGGGAGCCUGCGUGCAAUCUUUAGCGCUUGGAAGGCCGGAACGCAAUUCCUACAAACAUUCCGAACUUUCCCUGUUUCUCUUUCUGGAGGGGGAUGUUAGGACUGCCUCCACUUUCCACCUCACCCCAUCUACUGCACGUCUGGAGUGGAGGUCGGGGCUGGCAGGUGGGAGAGGCGGUGGACAGAUGGCUGAGGGUGAAUGGGACAGUUCCCUCUUCCCCAACAUCUCCUCCCCUUUCCAACGGACUGUAUAGUUGCUUGAGUGAACUUUCAAGUCUUUCCAUAGAGAGAUACGUGCGUCACCCCAGGCCAGGGGUCCUGGUCUCCCUCACCCUAGUCCUAUAUUGAUGCUGCUGGAGUCUUUAAUUGCUGUUUACUAUUAGGUUUCAUGUCAACCUCGGGCUUGUGGAGAAAAAAUGCCAAGCAGAGACCGAGAACUGAUGCAUUCUUAAGCAGGAGAAGUCCAGAGAUCAUCUAAGAAGCUUUACAACCAAAGCUGCAUAGAUUUUACUUUGACAUGUUUGUGACAUUGGAUCGGAUAGAUGAAAUUAAUAGUGAGGAUUAUAGGUGGGUUUGGGGUUCCCAUGUCCUCCUUUUCUACAUUAAAAGAAAGGAAGUUUUUCUCUAGGCAGGCACAUUUCAAAUGUGUUAGUCAUCCUUACAUAUAUCUGUGUUCAGUUCUCAUAAAGAAGUUCUCCAAAAACCUGUCCCCACAAGAGGGAAAAUUUCUGUAGACCUUUUACUCUGAAUUCUCUCAGUAGCAAUGAAACAUUUUCCCAAACAUUUCCUUUUGGAACGGUAUUUUCCUAUGACCUUUGACCCACCCCAAGCAUGGAAAGAGGAAGAGCUCCAAAAGUUCCCCUACCCCAGUUUCAGCUCCUAGGGAUCCUCAUCCUGCAGAAGGGGAUAGACAAGGAGACCCUCUUGGAGAUAGCCUCCUUGGGAUCGCCAGGGUUGGGGAAACAAGGGGGUCUUGUUGGGCAGGGGACAGGAUGUAAGAGGGUCAGUGCUGGCAGUGAGGGAGAUCCAGGCCCUCUGCCCGCUUGCCUCCUUCCUAUACCUUCUUUGUGGGCUUCCUCCGCUCUGGUUUGCAAUAUCCUCCCGGCCGGUUGUAGUUCGCCUGCACAAAGCCGCCUUCAGCCUCAGCCGCUGUCUUUUCUCUCCCUCCACCUCUCUUUCUCCUGGCCUGUUUUCAGGGGAACCUGCAUGGGGUGUUUUCCUUUGGAUCACAAAUUCGCACUGCCACACAAGCCUGCAUACAUACAGGCCAACUGCCAUCCCACCUCUUCGCACUGCUCCAGCUCCCGCAGGCUGGCUCUGCCUCGGCUGGUCCCCCCGAGUGCCGCUCUCCUGGAGUGGCUCACAAAGGCAGCCUCCCGCGGCAUCCAGCCCGUAGGCUAGGCUUCGGUAGCUCCGAUCCUUCCCCAGCCGCCACACCACCUCUACCCCACCCCCAGGAAUCGUGGGAGCCAUUCUGCUGUAUAAGAGACCCUUGGUCCUCUGGGCAUGUAGGCCAGUGACCCAGGACUCAGCUAAAGUCUCUUUAAAUGCCUCAGGAGAGUGGGUGAAAGGCGAGCUUGGUUACGAUUAAAAUAAUCGCCUGCAAGUAUCUGCCUCUGCUCAAAACGCCUCUUUCGGGGCUCUUCUAGAAAGAGAAAGAGCGAGGAGGAGACAAAACGCCGCCGAGGCCCCGGAGCCGUUCAUGGCAUCCGCGGCUCAGCCAAGCUGUUGUUUUAAAAGAGCAAUAAAAAUGAAUUAUGACUGAAUGCCUUCUAACUUAAUGCUUUCGGACGGGGAUCCCCGGCAAAUACGUAAGAGGAUUUUUAUUUGUGCAUGUGUUCCUGCAAUUGAUCUCUUUGAUGACAUUCUCAUUCAUAGAAAGCGUUUGAUUUAUGAGCUUAGGACGAAUCGCAUCCAGGAGCGGCGCAGCCCUGGCCGCAGCCCGGACGCCCUGCUCGGCGC
RNAcentral lists this long non-coding RNA (2760 nucleotides) under Marmota monax (woodchuck). The stretch from base 2504 to 2717 matches the Rfam family "HOX antisense intergenic RNA myeloid 1 conserved region 2". The record is from RNAcentral. Lineage: Eukaryota; Metazoa; Chordata; Mammalia; Rodentia; Sciuridae.